AGUGAACGCUGGCGGUAGGCCUAACACAUGCAAGUCGAACGGCAGCACAGUAAGAGCUUGCUCUUACGGGUGGCGAGUGGCGGACGGGUGAGGAAUACAUCGGAAUCUACUUUUUCGUGGGGGAUAACGUAGGGAAACUUACGCUAAUACCGCAUACGACCUACGGGUGAAAGCAGGGGAUCUUCGGACCUUGCGCGAUUGAAUGAGCCGAUGUCGGAUUAGCUAGUUGGCGGGGUAAAGGCCCACCAAGGCGACGAUCCGUAGCUGGUCUGAGGGGAUGAUCAGCCACACUGGAACUGAGACACGGUCCAGACUCCUACGGGAGGCAGCAGUGGGGAAUAUUGGGCAAUGGGCGCAAGCCUGAUCCAGCCAUACCGCGUGGGUGAAGAAGGCCUUCGGGUUGUAAAGCCCUUUUGUUGGGAAAGAAAAGCAGCAGGUUAAUACCCCGCUGUUCUGACGGUACCCAAAGAAUAGGCACCGGCUAACUUCGUG
This 492-nucleotide ribosomal RNA is filed under the name uncultured bacterium. RNAcentral's name for it is "partial 16S ribosomal RNA". It matches the Rfam family "Bacterial small subunit ribosomal RNA", at positions 29 to 507 of the family's 1533-position model. The record is from RNAcentral.